Molecule: long non-coding RNA, 2097 nt
Organism: Helianthus annuus (common sunflower)
Lineage: Eukaryota; Viridiplantae; Streptophyta; Magnoliopsida; Asterales; Asteraceae
Exons: 3
Source: RefSeq, a predicted model, not a curated record
CCCCAAUAAAAUUUUUCCUCUUAACAUAAAUUAACCUCCCCCAAUUCAUCUCUAUCCGCGUCCGUUCCCUGACUCCCUAUCGUAACCUCUCCAAUACUUUCAUCGAUCUCCUGUCUCUAUAUAACCGCUAUGGUUGAGGAACUGUAACGGUGACGAUGAUGAUUGUCGACGAUGGUUUUCUUCGAUGAUUCUCCAAGCGUCUGCCCCUGUCAUUCUUUAAGGUGAGGGUUAUUUAGUUAUUAACAUAGUUAUUGAAACACCAGUUUUGCGUAUUUGUUUACUGGAUUUUAUUUUGAUAUAUGUUUGUUCAAUGUGGUUUUUAAGGGGUAGCGACGCAGCUUGUUGCCCGUCUACCUGCCGUUAGUCUAUAAUCGUCUUUGUUUUAAUGAAAAUCUAUUUAAAGCUUAAAACUCUAACAAAAGGUUUGAACUAUCUAUACGAAAUUCUUUACUUCUUGUUUAUUUGAACCACAAAACCCUUGCCUUGCUUUCAAAAGAUAUCGAUAGUUUAUAAAACUAGAAAUAUUGAUACAAGAUGAUAUUUGAUUGAAAUGGAUUUGUUUUUAUUUUAUUUUUUAUGGCCUUCUUAUUUCUUUUUUCUAGUGCUAGCUUUCACUGUGAUGGUAUUGUUUUCAUGAACAACUCCUAUGUGGUAAUCAUUUUUUAUAUUUAAAAUUCAAUAGUAAACCCAUCAUAAUGCUCAAUUUCUCCAACUAUAUAAUGUUAACUGAUUAGAAUGUAAAACAGAAGUUGUGCCUACCUACAUAGCAAUGUGUCCUCGUUAAAUUUAUAACAUGCUAAUGAUAACAUCACACUAUUGGUAGUUAAAAAAAAUGCCAGUGGCCAGAUGAGAGUUAUUUAUAUAUUUAGCUAUUCGUUAAUUAGCUAGCAUCAAAUAAAUUUUGUUAAUUGUGUUUAUAAAGCCUUACUGUAUGGUUGAAACUAUAUGGAAUGAUAAGUAGGUAUUGCUAUCUAUCUUCGAACCUUGCAAUGCAUAUGGUUGAAACUAUUAGUCAUGGAUAGAACUAAAGGGUGCAAGAUGGCUAUGAUCUUAUUCAGUAAAAUCAUUUAAGGGGCAUAUGAUGGUGAUGGAACCUAACCAAAAAGUCAAAGUUCGGAUGAAGAGGUCGAAGAGCCAAGCAAACUACGAGCAAAAAGUAGAUAAACGACCCUUGACCUGAUAAUGAUUUAACAAGGAGAACGAAUUUCAUGUAUUUGGUGAAUAAACUUGGACUUGCUAAGGUAUGGAUCACAUGAGGUAUGUAAUGUUAUUUUGUCGAACUUUCAUGAAUGUAAACUUGGAAGAGAACAUACUUGACUCACAAUCAAGUGACCCGUUAAGGAGAUUUUAAAUCAGUUAUUAUGUAUUAACCUUGUUUUAUUAGUGUGCAGGUUGGACUUGUUUUCAAUGGGUUCCACGUGCUAUUGAAAUUCUUAGUUGAUAUUAAAGGUUGUAUGCUAAAUGCGCUGGUGCAUAAGAGAGGAAAAUGAUCAGAGAUAUGCAGGGGCAUAUUAUAUACCAGUCUAUAUGGCAUAUACGGAAAAAAGAACCAAAUAUGUCAUGUAAUAUGCUGAGAUGGCGUAUGAGUAGCAUAAAACACGCCCAACUUUGCGUAUUAUACGUUGGGUUGUUUUGUUCAAUUUUUUUUUUGUUUAUUUAUACAGAGUUAUCAGGCAUGUAUAGAUUGUUCACUCAUUUAGCUUUGCUAACUUCUUUGUUUACAUAUACUUCCAGGAUUGAUAGUGGAUUAAUGUUUACAGAGAAUCGUGAAUGAGACUAUGGUUUUUAAGAUUUGAGGACAUUGUCAUGCACUUAUUUUACUUGGUUAGCAACAGUAUCAGGUUUGCAAAUAUUUGUUGGUGGAUUAUUCAUCCUUGAAAGACUAAACAGUUAAGUCGAACAAGGGACACUAGAAGAAAUUUCACAAGCACCUAUUCAAGAUCCUUGAAGAAAAUUUAGUUUGAUUUGAAGAUUUUGUAAAUAAUUUUGAGUAACUUUAUGAAUGUAUAAUAGAUUAUUAUGAUAUCUUUGUUACCAUUCUUAUGGCGCAAUUCAGAUCCUAAUGCAUAUUAAUAGCAAUUGUAGUGUUUGAAACAA